Molecule: long non-coding RNA, 299 nt
Filed under: Capsicum annuum
Lineage: Eukaryota; Viridiplantae; Streptophyta; Magnoliopsida; Solanales; Solanaceae
Description: long non-coding RNA (CANN_LNC005199)
Source: RNAcentral
UUGAGUUCAACCAUCAAAAUUACUAUGUUCAAAUAGUUUAGAAAAUCACCACGUAUCUAGGUCGCUAAAUAUUUACUUAGUUCAAGAUUAAGGUGGGUUAAGUCCUACUUCUAAAUCCCGAGAAUGCCAAGCUUACUAACACAAGUCUAGUUUCUACCUCGAAUCAAGCUAGGUCAUCUAUACCUCACCAUAAAGUCUUACCAAUCCUUUCUAGGUCUAUACGGAAAGUUUCUUCAAGAAUCCUUCCUAAGUCAAUCCAACACCAAGGUCAUCUCCUAUAUAGGCAUCAUAUAGGUCAA